AUUCCAUAUGGUUAUGCAUUUUCUUUUUCCAUUCAUUCAAAGCGUUUAUAUAAAUAUAUACUAGAUUUUAACCGCGGAGCAAUUUAUUUUUUAAAUUAAUAUAUAUAAAAGUUUGCAAAUUGUAUUUAUCUAUAAAAUAGUUUUAUUUUAUAACGUCCUGCCAAACCCGUCCCGUCAACCCGUCCUGUAAAAAAAUUUAUUUAUUUUAUUAAUGUUGAUCUUAUUAUGAUAUGUUUAUAAAUUAUUGUCUAAAUAUUUUAUAAUUUUGUAGUAAUUAAAUGUUAUCAAAUAUCUUUGCGGUUUGAUGAUUAUAAUCGAAUUGUUAUAAUCAUGCAGAAAAGCAAUAUCAAAAAUGAUAAUUUUGUAGUAAUUAAAUGAUAUUAAAUAUUUUGGAAGUUUUAUUUUAGUAAUUAAUCGUGUAGUUAAGGUCGAGAGAUUUUAAGAAGAUUGUUAAAUGUCAAAUAUUUAAUUAGAAUAUUUUCUUUCUAAUUAUCAAAAACAAACAUUAAAAUCCAGUGGCAGUCAUUGUAAAUAAAUCUUAACUAUAGGAUUUAUUUCACAAAAUAACUGCAAAU
This 575-nucleotide small RNA is filed under the name Arabidopsis thaliana (thale cress). RNAcentral's name for it is "ATSL005850". Lineage: Eukaryota; Viridiplantae; Streptophyta; Magnoliopsida; Brassicales; Brassicaceae. The record is from RNAcentral.